GUGUGUGUGUGUGUGUGUGUGUGUGUGUGUGUCUGUGUGUCUGUGUGUCUGUGUGUCUGUGUGUGUGUGUGUGUGUGCGUGUGUGUGUGUGUGUCUGUGUGUGUGUGUGUGUGUGUAAUCAGAGCCUUGUGUGCGUGUACUAAUUUGAGUGUCCAACUUAUUAUUUAUGUGUGUGUACAAAAAAAUGUGUCUUAUCAGUAUUUCACUGUGCAUGUCCAAAAAGGUUUGUGUGUCCUUAUAGUGAUUUGUGCAAAACAAGACCCUUUGGUAGGUUGUUUAUUUACACAAUACUUGUGCUACAGUCCUGCCGUGUAAGAUGUGUGUGUGUGUGUGUCUUACAAUCUGUCUGUCAGUAUUUUGGUGUGUGUGUGUAAUCACAUUGGUGUGAAGCAGCAGCCCUGAUUGGCUGUUUACAGACAUGUGACUUGUGUGCACAUGCAACUUGUCCUCUCACUAAAUAAUGACAUCGCUCCUUUAUCUGUAAAUAACAAUAUAUCAAUAAUACAUGUCAGUGUGUAUCUGUAAAUCAUAUAUCUAAUACACACACACAAAUCUUAUUACCCACACAAAUCUGAAUACACACACAAUGAUCUUGACACACAAUUCUGAAUACGCACACACAAAUUGUAUUACUCACACAAGAAAAUGUUAUCACACAAAUCAGAAUACAGACACACAUAUUUUGACCCAUAGAUUGAAAUGCAGACUGACAUUUUUUAUUUUAACAUGCACACCAAUCAUAAUAGACACACACACACUUGCAUGUGAUGAUAAGAGUGAGGUGAUAAGAGUGAGGUGAUAAGAGUGAGGUGAUAAGAGUGAGGUGUAAAGAGUGAGAUGAUAAGAGUGAGGUGAUAAGAGUGAGGUGAUAAGAGUGAGGUGAUAAGAGUGAGGUGAUACGAGUGAGGUGAUAAGAGUGAGGUGUAAAGAGUGAGGUGAUAAGAGUGAGGUGAUAAGAGUGAGGUGUAAAGAGUGAGGUGAUAAGAGUGAGGUGU
Nerophis ophidion (straightnose pipefish) is the source of this 995-nucleotide long non-coding RNA. RefSeq lists it as uncharacterized. NCBI's taxonomy places the organism in Eukaryota, Metazoa, Chordata, Actinopteri, Syngnathiformes, Syngnathidae. The record is from RefSeq and is a predicted model, not a curated record. The transcript is spliced from 2 exons.